CAGAACGCAGAGGGGGGCGAUCAGGUUUCUCCAAAACCCUAACUCACCCAAAAAUUCACAAAUUGAAGGUCAAGAUCAAUUCCAAAACGAAAUCCGAGCCUAGAUUGGUGAUCUCCAUUGCAAGGGGGUCAUAAGCGUAGGAGCCAUGUCAACAUGGACACGAGCAUGGAAGGGCAAUGGGUCAAAGCUAAAAACGGAAGCUAUGCAUGAACUCGGACGCACGAGGAAUGAGAACGUCAGACUCUUGUAGAAUUGAAGCCGAACCUGGAAGCCGAACUCGAAACAAAGGAAUCCGAGAGGAUAGUCGAAUGAAUCAAAGUUUAUGUUGUUGAAUGUUAUAUGAUUUUUAAUUGUACCAGAUUAUUGUUGUAUGAUGUUGUCAAUGACUAAUGGUUAAGUUGUAUGUGAUGUCCACAGGUACUACACGGAUUUCUUCUACCACUAUCGAAGAUAAGCGGGCAUAUAUCGAGUCGAAUAACAAGGAUUGUACGGAAAGAACGGUUACGUAGUCUUAAUUUUGUAACGCAUUAAUUUGUAAAAAGGGAAGUGAAUUUUGUAAGCUUCUUCUUGAAUGUGUGUAUUGUUUUAAGAUCGUAAAGAAAUUUUU
Helianthus annuus (common sunflower) is the source of this 607-nucleotide long non-coding RNA. RefSeq lists it as uncharacterized. The record is from RefSeq and is a predicted model, not a curated record. The transcript is spliced from 3 exons. Lineage: Eukaryota; Viridiplantae; Streptophyta; Magnoliopsida; Asterales; Asteraceae.